CCUACGGGAGGCAGCAGUGGGGAAUUUUGGACAAUGGGGGCAACCCUGAUCCAGCCAUGCCGCGUGAGUGAAGAAGGCCUUCGGGUUGUAAAGCUCUUUCAGCAAGGGAAGAAAACGUUAUGAUCGAAUAAUCCAUGUGAUGACGGUACCUUGAUAAGAAGCACCGGCUAACUACGUGCCAGCAGCCGCGGUAAUACGUAGGGUGCGAGCGUUAAU
Molecule: ribosomal RNA, 216 nt
Filed under: uncultured bacterium
Lineage: Bacteria
Description: partial 16S ribosomal RNA
Rfam family: Bacterial small subunit ribosomal RNA
Source: RNAcentral